GACGAACGCUGGCGGCGUGCUUAACACAUGCAAGUCGAACGGAAAGGCCCUGCUUGCAGGGUGCUCGAGUGGCGAACGGGUGAGUAACACGUGGGUGAUCUGCCCCUUACUUUGGGAGAAGCCUGGGAAACUGGGUCUAAUACGGGAUAGGACCAUGCUGUAGGUGGGGUGGUGGAAAGAACAGUUUCGGUAAGGGAUGAGCUCGCGGCCUAUCAGCUUGUUGGUGGGGUAAUGGCCUACCAAGGCGUCGACGGGUAGCCGGCCUGAGAGGGUGGACGGCCGCCUUGGGACUGCGAUACGGCCCCGACUCCUACGCGAGGCAGCAGUGGGGGAUAUUGCACCAUGAGCGCACGCCUGCUGCAGCGACGCCGCGUGGGGGCUGACGGCCUUCGGGUUGUAAACUCCUUUCGGCCAUGACGAAGCCCUUGUGGUGACGGUAGUGGUAGAAGAAGCACCGGCUAACUACGUG
RNAcentral lists this ribosomal RNA (469 nucleotides) under uncultured bacterium. RNAcentral's name for it is "partial 16S ribosomal RNA". It matches the Rfam family "Bacterial small subunit ribosomal RNA", at positions 28 to 507 of the family's 1533-position model. The record is from RNAcentral.